CCUACGGGAGGCAGCAGUGAGGAAUAUUGGUCAAUGGGCUUACGCCUGAACCAGCGACGCCGCGUGAGUGAAGAAGUAUUUCGGUACGUAAAGCUCUAUCAGCAGGAAAAAAAAUGACGGUACCUGACUAAGAAGCCCCGGCUAACUACGCGCCAGCAGCCGCGGUAAUAGGUAGGGGGCAAGCGUUAUCCGGAUUUACUGGGUGUAAAGGGAGCGUAGACGGGAGAGCAAGUCUGGAGUGAAAUGUCGGGGCCCAACCCCGGAACUGCACUGGAAACUGGGAAGCUGGAGUGCAGGAGAGGUAAGCGGAAUUCCUGGUGUAGCGGUGAAAUGCGUAGAUAUCAGGAGGAACACCGGCGGCGAAGGCGGCUUACUGGACUGUAACUGACGUUGAGGCUCGAAGGCGUGGGGAGCAAACAGGAUUAGAUACCCUAGUAGUC
RNAcentral lists this ribosomal RNA (440 nucleotides) under uncultured bacterium. Its description in RNAcentral is "partial 16S ribosomal RNA". It matches the Rfam family "Bacterial small subunit ribosomal RNA", at positions 338 to 795 of the family's 1533-position model. The record is from RNAcentral.